This 84-nucleotide transfer RNA is filed under the name Sodalis sp. CWE. RNAcentral describes it as "tRNA-Leu". It matches the Rfam family "tRNA". Rfam says of the family: Transfer RNA (tRNA) molecules are approximately 80 nucleotides in length. Their secondary structure includes four short double-helical elements and three loops (D, anti-codon, and T loops). Further hydrogen bonds mediate the characteristic L-shaped molecular structure. tRNAs have two regions of fundamental functional importance: the anti-codon, which is responsible for specific mRNA codon recognition, and the 3' end, to which the tRNAs corresponding amino acid is attached (by aminoacyl-tRNA synthetases). tRNAs cope with the degeneracy of the genetic code in two manners: having more than one tRNA (with a specific anti-codon) for a particular amino acid; and 'wobble' base-pairing, i.e. permitting non-standard base-pairing at the 3rd anti-codon position. The record is from RNAcentral. Lineage: Bacteria; Pseudomonadati; Pseudomonadota; Gammaproteobacteria; Enterobacterales; Bruguierivoracaceae.
GCGGGAGUGGCGAAAAAUUGGUAGACGCACCAGAUUUAGGUUCUGGCAUCGGAAGAUGUGCGAGUUCAAAUCUCGCCUCCCGUA